RNAcentral lists this transfer RNA (74 nucleotides) under Chroococcus sp. FPU101. Its description in RNAcentral is "tRNA-Gly". It matches the Rfam family "tRNA". From Rfam's summary of the family: Transfer RNA (tRNA) molecules are approximately 80 nucleotides in length. Their secondary structure includes four short double-helical elements and three loops (D, anti-codon, and T loops). The record is from RNAcentral. Lineage: Bacteria; Bacillati; Cyanobacteriota; Cyanophyceae; Chroococcales; Chroococcaceae.
AGCGGGCGUAGUUCAGUGGUAGAACGUCACCUUCCCAAGGUGAAUGUCGUGGGUUCGAGUCCCAUCUCCCGCUU